UACGUAGGGGGCUAGCGUUGUCCGGAUUUAUUGGGCGUAAAGAGCGUGUAGGCGGCCAUGUAGGUCCGGUGUGAAAACUCGAGGCUUAACCUCGAGAUGUCAUCGGAAACCAUUUGGCUAGAGUCCGGAAGAGGAAAGUGGAAUUCCUGGUGUAGCGGUGAAAUGCGCAGAUAUCAGGAAGAACACCAAUGGCGAAAGCAGCUUUCUGGGACGGUACUGACGCUGAGACGCGAAAGCGUGGGGAGCGAACAGG
This 253-nucleotide ribosomal RNA is filed under the name uncultured bacterium. Its description in RNAcentral is "partial 16S ribosomal RNA". It matches the Rfam family "Bacterial small subunit ribosomal RNA", at positions 524 to 776 of the family's 1533-position model. The record is from RNAcentral.